AUUGAACGCUGGCGGCAGGCCUAACACAUGCAAGUCGAACGGUAACAGGGAUCAGCUUGCUGAUUCGCUGACGAGUGGCGGACGGGUGAGUAAUGUCUGGGAAACUGCCUGAUGGAGGGGGAUAACUACUGGAAACGGUAGCUAAUACCGCAUAACGUCGCAAGACCAAAGAGGGGGACCUUCGGGCCUCUUGCCAUCGGAUGUGCCCAGAUGGGAUUAGCUAGUAGGUGGGGUAACGGCUCACCUAGGCGACGAUCCCUAGCUGGUCUGAGAGGAUGACCAGCCACACUGGAACUGAGACACGGUCCAGACUCCUACGGGAGGCAGCAGUGGGGAAUAUUGCACAAUGGGCGCAAGCCUGAUGCAGCCAUGCCGCGUGUAUGAAGAAGGCCUUCGGGUUGUAAAGUACUUUCAGCGGGGAGGAAGGGAGUAAAGUUAAUACCUUGGCUCAUUGACGUUACCCGCAGAAGAAGCAUCGGCUAACUCCGUG
Molecule: ribosomal RNA, 490 nt
Filed under: uncultured bacterium
Lineage: Bacteria
Description: partial 16S ribosomal RNA
Rfam family: Bacterial small subunit ribosomal RNA
Source: RNAcentral